GACGAACGCUGGCGGCGUGCUUAACACAUGCAAGUCGAACGGUGAAGGGAUCAGCUUGCUGGUUCUGGCUGAGUGGCGAACGGGUGAGUAACACGUGAGUAACCUGCCCCCUUCUUCUGGAUAACCGCAUGAAAGUGUGGCUAAUACGGGAUAUUCUGGGUCUGUCGCAUGAUGGGUCUGGGAAAGAUCUUGUUUCGGUGGGGGAUGGGCUCGCGGCCUAUCAGCUUGUUGGUGGGGUGAUGGCCUACCAAGGCGGUGACGGGUAGCCGGCCUGAGAGGGUGGACGGUCACACUGGGACUGAGACACGGCCCAGACUCCUACGGGAGGCAGCAGUGGGGAAUAUUGCACAAUGGGCGCAAGCCUGAUGCAGCGAGGCCGCGUGAGGGAUGGAGGCCUUCGGGUUGUAAACCUCUUUCGCCAGUGAAGCAGGCCUGCUCCUUGUGGGUGGGUGGACGGAAGCUGGAUAAGAAGCGCCGGCUAACUACGU
RNAcentral lists this ribosomal RNA (488 nucleotides) under uncultured bacterium. Its description in RNAcentral is "partial 16S ribosomal RNA". It matches the Rfam family "Bacterial small subunit ribosomal RNA", at positions 28 to 506 of the family's 1533-position model. The record is from RNAcentral.